GCAGGCCCCGCCCACGCCGGCGGCGCGUUCGCGCAUGCUCCAGGAAGGCCUGCGCCGGCCCGCGCCCCGCCCGCUACCGGUGAGGAACGGGUGCUGUGUACGAGAGGGAGCCGAGGGCUUCGUCUUCCCAGCAACAGGCGCUCGUGCCUCAGAGGCACGACAGAUUCCUAGGCGCUGCUUGAGUGUGACGUGUUUCCCAACUGCCACUACCCUCUUCAAAGUACUGACCUUGCAUAGUUUAAGCUAUUGUAUUCUUACCGCAUUAUCGGUUCGUCAUCUUUAUCGAUUCAUUUCCUUGCAUGCUUUCUACAGGCUGCCUCUUCAAGCCUCAGGAGGACAGUGCUCCUAAACUGGCCUGCACUUUACAUCACAUGGGGAUCUUCUAAAAAUUCCAAGCCCAGAGCAUACCCCAGGCCAAUUAAAUCACAAUUCCCUAGCGGUGGGAAACAGGUAUCAGUAGUUUUGGAAAUUCUCCAGGUGAUUCCAAUGUGCAGAAAAGUUUGGGAACCACUGCCCUAAGGCCUUGCUGCUCAAAGUGUGGACUGUGGACCAGCAGCAUCACUAGAAAUCAGAACCUCUAACUACUUCAAUCAGAGAUCUCUGGGUGAUUUGACACACAUUAAGAUUUGGGAAGCACUGUUUAGAGGCCUGAAUGGAUAUGGGUAUCUUGAUUUAUGAGGACCACGUGUUUAAAGGAUGUCCUUGGAUGAGGAUAACAACGACAGGAUGGAUUGUGUGACCUUCCACCAGGUAUGUAAUUUUCAUGUCUUGCGUUAUUCCAAGUCAUUAAGCAAGGCCUUGUUUGAAGGUGAUGAACAGGUCCCUGCAGAAGAGUGCAGUUUUGAAAAGAAGCCUGGCCUUCAUCGUCCUGAACUGGAAUCCUCACGUGGUACUCACUCCUGAGCCUCACCUGUCAAGUGGAAAUGAUGAUAAUAGCGCCUGUCUCAUAGGGUCUCAUGAGGACUGUGAGAGGGUGUCUGGGACGCAUGUCUAGGACACGCAUCCACCUGUUGCUUUUCUCCUUCGCCACUCUAGGCCCUCUCCAGGGGACGAGUCCGCACACAUCCCUCCUACACCUCCAAAAGUCUUAAAUGGUUUCCCUUGUGUUGUCUCUGGCUUUCUCCUCCCCACGCCCACUGCACCGUGGACAUGGCGAGGGUACAUGGUGAAUCUCUUCAAGAUCCUCCCUUCUCUUGGCCUCCUGACCCCAUGUGGUACACCCAUGGCUUUCCUCCUGCCUUCCUGACUUUGCCCGUCUCCUUGGCCAAUUGUUCCUCCCACCUCCUUAGCUUGGUGCCCAGGUUUCCGUGCUCAGCCCUCUGCUAUGAUUACUGUAGUGGGAGAGCUGGUCUUUGAGCCUCAGUCACCUGACUUUGGAUCCUAACUCUAAAUUUACUAACUGUAGGACUUUGGAUAAGGUUCUUUGAAUCUCCUUUCUCACCUUUAAACUCGACUGUUAAUCCCCACCUGUUAGAGUCAUUUUUGGAGGGAAUGAGAUUAUAUUAACUCAUAGUUCCAUUUAUUAUGUGCCACCCCCUGUGUGAGGGACGUUUCCCACCAACUUUCGGUUCUCCCAACAAUUCUGCAUGGAAAGCAGCUAAUAGGAUCCAGGCUGUGCCUUUCUUCUUCUUUCUCUUUCUUUCCUUUGAACAGAUCCAUUGUUCCACCUCUUUCCUCUCUGCAGUUUACUCCCCAAUUUGUUGUUCCAAUGACCCACAUUUCUAAAUGACAAGUGGAUUUUUUUUUUACAUUAACAUCAAGCAGUCACCUCAAACUCAACAUCGUAAGUCAAAUAAUCUCACUAUCUCUAUCUGGCUAUACCUACUUCCCACUUUCUUCUUGUCUACAGGGGUAUAAUUCUGUCUCCCACUCAUGAAAACGCAGAACAAUGGUUCCCAGCCCUGGCUGCACAUUAGAGUCACCCAGAAGGUUUUGAAAAUGAUGACACCUAAGGCCCCCGCUCACACCAGUGAAAUCGGAGUCCCUGAUCCUCUUCCUUCCUCUGCUCAUCAUGGGCCUGGCUGACUUUUGCACCUGUGCUGUCCGUCUCUGUCUAGCUUUUCUUUGCUCUGGGCCCAGACUUCUGCAACAGCCUCUCAACGAGUUUUCCUACCUUUACGUUCGCCAGCCUCAUCUCCCUAAACCUCUGAGACUUUCUAGGUUUGAGUUUGCAAGACUGGUAAUUGCAGAGCAUUAUUAUUCCUCUUGCUAUUAUUCCUGCAAUUCAGGUAAUAGCACUGAGGUAGGCAGUGGGGUCCCUGGGCUCAGGCCCCUCCAUACCGCUUCCUCCCCUGGGCACAAUUCUCAGCCCAGAUCAAGUCUGACUGCCUCUAGAUGAUCCUUCCCUGACUGCUGCCACCCCCAUGCGUCUCUCCUGCCUUUGAACUUUUGCAGCCCUUUCUCUCUGUAGCACUGAGUAGACAGUCCUUGACUGUGUUGGGUUACUUUUAACCAUUCAGACAUACAAUUUCCUGUUUCCCUAAUCUUGAUUUAAUCUUCAUAAGGGCAGAGACUGGAUCAUAAUCUUUGGACCCUCAGUAGUGAGGUGACUUGCAUACACUGGGGGCCAUCUUAGUAUUAAUAUAGUCAGUUAAAUGAACAUACCCAUGAAAGCACUGUGUGAAACCUUAAAAGUUUGACAUGAAUGUCUUCAUCAAGGAAUCUUUCGUGUGCAAGGACCAUAAUCCCACUCAGACUAAUCCACGUGCGACACGAGGGACUCUCACUGCACCGGCUGCGGACAGACCGCAUAGGGUGGCAGUUGCCUGCACACGGUCUGUUUCUCAGUCUGCCACUCUUCGGCUCGGCUGUCUUCCUUAGCCUCACUCCUUUGCUCUCCAAGCAUCUCUUAGACUACUCCAUUCAUUUCCUGUGUACGUGUGUCCCUGUCUGUGCUUGUGUCUUGCUAGCUCACUCACUUGCUCAUGCAUGUGUUCUCUCUCCCUCCCUCCCUCCCCUCCUCAGGCUUCCUCCCCUCACAGUCCUGGGUCUCGGAUCAUCCCUGCCUAUCUCUGCUCUUUUCUCAGCUUCUUCUGUGACACUGAGUUUCUGCCCCUGUGACUGUGGUUUUCCAAGAGCUUUGGCUCAACUCAAACAGCCCUGCCCGACCUUACAUAAUCUGGCCUCAACUCCCCAUGGCUAGUGACUCCUGAAGGAGAAUCUUUGGCCCACCUGGGGUUCAGGCUCUUCCUCAGGCCCAAACAGCUUCAGCCGGAAAGAGCUAAGGCUGUGAGUCUUGUAGAUCAAGCCAAAAGGUUAACACAAACAGAACUCUGGUAUGCCUGUUCUAGCUACAAAAUUGCAUUUACUACCCUCAGCUUUUUACCCACCCUUUGUUCCUCCCAUGUAGGAGACUGGAGAUAUUUUCUCUCUCUUUGACUCUGUAUCAACUGUGUGACUUGCUUUGGCCCUAUAAGUUAGAAGUGACAGUGUGUUGGUUCCAAGCCUAGGCCGCAAGAGAACUUGGGUGUUGCUAGAGUAUUUUAAAGCAGUCUCAUACAUCAUCUCAUUUUGCUGUAUUAUCUCAUUUUGUUAAUUAGCUCUAAGAGGUUAUAGAUAUUAUACAUAGUAUUAUCUUCAAUUCUAUUAUCAGAUCCAGCAAGAUGAACAGUACUUCCUUAAAGUCAUCUAAUAUCCACAGACCCUUAAAUUCAGCAUAUUCAAAACUGCUUUCCUCUCUCCCUUUGCACCCUCCCGGGUCUUCUUGUCUCAGUGAGCGGGGCCAUCAUCCACCCAGCUCACUGAACCCAUGGCUUCUUCCAUCUCUCACCCCUGCAUUUAUUAAAAGGCCCAUCAUGGGUGGUUUUACCUCCCCAUCUUCACUUGUACCCAAGGAAGGCCCUGGUCCUUCUAGUUCCCCUGAGUGUCUGUGAUCUCAUCAGCAAAUGGGUGUCCAGGGAUCAAAUCGGUCCACUCCCCAACCAUGUGGAGAGAAUUCUGUUUAGAGGCUAUCCUCCCCCAAACUGCUCCUGACCUCUCAAGAUCGCUUCCUUCCCGGCAGGCCUUAGACCUUCUCACACUAACAAAUAUCGCACUAAAGAAAGAGGAUAUCUAGUAGGAUUAAAAGGGUGAGUCCUGGAGUCGGGAAGGCACACUCAGAGGUCAUUAUUGUCAGCAGAGUGUGAGGUCUGGGCUCGCAGUGCUGGCCAUGGCACCAGAAAGAAGGCGGCAGGUGCACAGAUGAAAAGGCAGACCAGUGAUGGUGGUGGUUAGAAGCGGGCUUUGAAGUUUGGCAGACCUAACUUUGAAUCCUAGCUCCACCGUUUACUAUUUGACCUUGAGCUAGUUAUUUAAUCUCUCUGAACUCCGUGUUAUCUGUACAAUGGGGCUAAUAAUAUCUAUGCCACGGGAUUGUUGUGAGAAUUAUAUGAAACAAUUAAUUCAUGUGAGGUGCUUAGCACAGGGCUCAGCACAUAAUAAGUGAUCAAACAAUAGUAGCCUUUCUUUUUUUCCCCCGACUUGCUGCUGACUUAUGCCUUCCGUUCUUAAACCAGAGUAGAGUUUGGCAGACUUCUAUGAUAGCCCCCAAUAAUCACUGCUUCCUGGUAUUCAUGUCCCUCUGUGAUUACCCUUCUCCUUGAGUGUGGACUGGACCUUAUGAAUUGCUUCUAACUAAUAGAAUAAGGCAAAGGUGAUGGGAUGUGAUUAGGUUACAAAAUAUUGGGACUUGCAUCUUCCUAGCACACUCUCCUCCAUUACCUUCUUGGCUUGUUUGGUACAUUGAUGAAACAAGCUACCAUGUUGGAGAAGCCCACAGGGCAAAGAAUUGAGGGUGGCUUCUGGCCAACAGCCACCUAGGAACUGAGGCCCUCAGUCCUGUAGCCCUCAAGGAGCUGAAUCCUGCCAACAGCCGUGUGGGAUUAGAAGCAGGUACUUCCCCAGUCGAACCUUCAGAUGAGACCCUAACCCUGGCUGACUCCUUCAUUGCAGCCUGGAAGAGGCCCUGAAGCAGAGAACCCAGUUAAGCCGUGCCCAGAUUCCUGAUCCGUGGAAAUUGUGGGAUAAUAAAUGUGUGUUGGUUUAAGCCACUAAAUUUGGGGGUAAUUUGUUACGCAGCAUAACUAAUACAUAAAGUCAGUCUUUCAUGACACAAAAUAACUCUAGACCUAGCAGACACCCUAAGGAGAGAGCAUCUGCACAAGGAGUAUUCUGACAGGAGAGGGCACUCUGACCCAGCAUCCAUCCAUUACACAAAUUUCUUCCUAUCCAAAAAUCAGUUACAUAGUGUGACAAGAGUGAGUACAAUUAUGGUGAUAACUGGACAAAAUAGCUUGAAUGUGGACUGUCCUAGAAGAUCUUCAGUGUGUGGUCCCUUUUAUCCCAAUUUUAUUCUUAUCUUCCAAUGUUUACUUCUCCCAGACUAGUCCCACGCAGCCAACGUGGUUAGCUAGGGCCACUGUCCUUGUGGAUCAGGCAAGGCACCAGGACACCAUCCCUGAAACACACCUUUAACUUGAAGAAGCAGAACAACAGCUCUGCUGCUGCUUUUGUAGGCACGUGGUAGAAAGACUUUUGGAUGGGGCACGAAUGGCCACUGACUACCUGGGCCCGACUUUGGGCAACUCUUCCCAACCUGCUUUGAUCAUCCAUAAAAUAGAGGAGACCCUGCCCUACCUCCCUCACAGAGUCGUUGUGGGCGUCACGUAAGAACUUGGCAAGUUAAUUCACCUCUCUGUACUUUGGUUUCUUCAUCAGUCAAUUGAGGACAAUAGUGCCUACCUCACAGGUUGUGAGGAUUAAACGAGAAAACACAUUUAAAGCACGUAGCAAAAAGGCAUGGCUCAGAGGAAUUGCUCUGUGCUCAGAGGAAUUAGCUCUCAUCGCCAUGAUUACUGUGAUCUGUGCGAACACCUUUGUCAGCCAUGAAGUGCGAUGCAUCUGCAAACUGUUACCGACACUAGCUUCUCAAAUUCUGGCUCAAACAAAAAGGGAAUGAGUGGAUGAGCACUAUUGCAUUGGCCAAGGUCAGCCCAAAGUGAGCUGGAAGACAGCAGUUAAGAAAAGUUCCCUCCACUUUGCCUGGAGAUUGAGCAAGAGAGAUUCCACCCCUGGGCCACAUCCUCAAUAUAAUUCCCCCCAUCUCCCAGGAAGCCUGCAGGAGUCACUGAUUGUCUAAUGGCCCAGUUAGGAGAGGUCCCCCAGGCUGUCAUCUGUAUUUUUGUGCUCACUCCCAGCGGCAUGCUGUCAGCAGGUUUCUCGCCCUCUCUCAGCGUCUGUUCUUUGGAACAGACUUCUCCUGGAAUCAUCGGCGGACAGUGCUCAGGCCUAGCACCAUUUCUCUUCUUGAUUAUCUGCUCAUCUUGCAGUUCCAGCCUGGCCUCUCUAAUUAGCGCUCCUCUUGCUUCAGUCUGAUCAUUGCAUUUUCCCGCAGCCGUAAUUGUACCGCCACAGGCCUGUGCGUAAUCACUCCCACCCACUUCAAAUCCAUUUUAGUCUGGAGGAGCCAGAUUCCAUCUAGUGAGUGAGGCCUAAUUGCUCUCUGAUUACCCACAGGGUCAGGCGCUUGCAUGUACACAGUUUCUAUCUGUGGCCAUGCAAGAUUUUUGUGUUCGAUAAUUUCCUCUGCCAGCUUUUUCACUGAGCCACCAGAGUCACCCCUGGCAGAGGGGGAGCUGGCAUCUGGAGGGAGUCCUCGCCCCAUUUACGGAUGGCUUCUUGGUUUACUUUAGGGGUAGAAUCCGUUCAUCUCUCUUCACCUCCGGUGCCACCAUCUCGGUCCAGUCUGCCAUUGUCCCACCUGAUCUCGAGAUGCAUCCUGCCACCAGGCUCAGUCUCUUCAAUCUUCUCCACACGACUGCUGAGGGAUCCUUCUCAGAUGCCAGAGAUUCAGUGAUGUCCCGCAGCCUGUAGGAUAAAGCUCCCCCUCCUUACUAGUGCCCUGGCAAGGCCUCAGAGAAGCCGCGUUAUCUCCAGGCUUCCUUUCUCACCACUUGCAUGCUGUCCAAGCACGGGGAGCUUCCUUCAUCACUCAUGCCUGCCCAUCUCUCACUUCCCUCCGACCUCCCAUACGCUCUUCUCUUGGUUUGCGUCACUCUCCCCUUCUUGCUCCUACUGUCCCUCAAAACUAGCAAAUGUCAACUUAUCUGUUAGGUGGCAGCUUAGGGGUCAGUUCCUCCAGAGAGCUUGCCAGACCGCUCCGGUUGGCCAAGUGGCCCUGCUCCAUACUCUGCCAUCCCCUGGGCUUCCCUCCUCACAGCGCUUACCACAUGUUACUGCCGUUACCACAAUUCUUUAAUUAAUCUUCCCCAGCAGCGUGCAAGCGCUGAGGGCAUGCUCCAUGGAUCUCAUCCACCACCGUAUCCACAGCACCCAGCGCAGUGCCCAGCACAAGGCGGGUGCCAAUAAAUCUUUCUUGACUGAAUCAGUAAAUUUCCCACCACUGCUAUGAAGCCGCAGAAAUAGUAGUGGAAGUUGCUAUGGCAUUUCCCUGGGUCAGACGUUUAUUGGUCCUGAUAACAUUUCACAUAUUAAACGUAAAUUUUUGACUUGAACAAAAGACUUAUUGCUUUCUAGCAUGCCAAUAUGUUUUUAUUUUUAUUUCUCUCGCACCUUUCACAGCUUCCCUGUAUCCUAUGAAUUGGCUUUGAAAUACUGCCUCCCCCCUUUCUUCUCAAUCAUUCUAGGUCAGUUUUGGGCCAAUUUCUGUACUAUGUGCUUUAAAUACAUCAUCUCAUUUCAUCCUCCCCCAAGUUUGUGAGGCAGACCUUCUGACUCCUUCUCACAGAUGAGGAGGCCCCGUGCCCAUGGGCAGGGAGGUCUGCGUCAGUGGACGGUCCAAUAGCCACAGCCCUGUGUACGCAGGCCUAAGGCUCCCACCCUCCGUGACCUCUUCUUGUCCCCACAACUGUGGGCUCCAUAUGGUCCUGUUCAGUAGGCCCUUUGCUAAUAAGUGGCACCAUUUAUUUAUCACCUACAUUUUAGAGUGAAACCUGCACCCUUCUUGGAACUUCCGAAUCGUCUGUCCUGCUUACCUCGCAGCACAGAGCAGGGACAUGGCAACUUUUUAAAUAUUCUUUGUGACAUCCGUUCACUCAAAAAGUGUUUAUUAAUUCUCCUUAGAAAGCGAGGUCCCAGAGGCUAGAGUGCCCCGUUAUGGAGAUGGGGAACAGCCUAGACAGGGAAGCACACCUCGGGGCACCAUGCUCCCUCCGGGGCCAGUGCUCCAGACUCCCUCUCUUGUUUCCGAACACAGGAUUCUGUGCUUUUAUUUCCUCCACUGUGUGGUCAUGACUGUCACCUUCCUGGGACUCUCUGGGGUACACGAACAGUGACUCCCAGCCUAUCCAACCUUUCACAAAUGCCACCGCCUCUUCACCCUGGCCACAUGAUUCGCAUGCGCCUCCAGUGGUCUCUCUUCUCUUGACAUUACUAAGCCUUUCUUCUGAGUCAGAGACUGGAAGAGAGAAAUUCCGUAAUCCAGUUCCUGGAAAUGCCAAGCAGGGCCUAUUAUAUAACCCUCUCUAAGUAGCUGCUAAAUUACUGGGUUAAUUAAUGAGGGGAGAGGUAUGGAGGAGAGAUGGACAAAGGAAGUCGGCUGAUGGGAUGCAGGUGCUGUACCUGGAAGUGCGCUAAGUUAUAAAACCCCCAAUUCUGCAGACACAAGGCACCUCCAAGGUUCCAUUGGGAACAGAAAGGUGAUAUGCCAAGAGUCUCUUUUCAAGUCAGCCCUGCCAGAGAGAAUGGGGAAGCCUAGGCUCCCAGCCCAGACCACCAGGAGGCUGGUAGCCUCCAGCCCCUGGGAGAUAGGGUUUUAAACUUAAAGCAGGUUCUCUCCCUGUUGGAGCUCUCAAACUACUGAGUUUAUCUUACUCCAAAGUCCAAAAGGGGAUUCCCAGCCUCUCUGUUGACUGACCAGCAGUGCAAGACAAAAAGGAGAUGAUGAAAGCAUGGAGUCAGCCUCAUCCAAUCCUUUCUUGCUGGUCUCUGGACUGAGCUUCAGAGACAGGAACCAUCUCUCUUCAGGUGGAGGGUCGCAUGGAGAGGCCGUGGGAAGGGGAGGGGUCUCCGUGGUCCUUUGGAUGUCUGGGGCCUUGUUUGAGAACUUGCAGGAUGUACCCUGGAAAACCACUGUUCUAAUGUCUGUGAUGCCACAAACUUUCCCCAGAAUCUUAAAAUGACCUCUAGUAAUAUUCACUCACCUAGGAGAAGAGAAAAUAGCUGGUCUCAAAUGUUAAUCUUCUAAAAAUUGGAAUUGGAGCACCUGUGGGAACAGUUGCUCCCUCUCCUGUCUAGGUCCCCGCUCCUAUAUGAAAGAGAAAGUGCCUUCGUCUAUCUGCAGCUGGAUGGAAUGAGACGGUUCUCUUUGCCUUUUCUCUUUUCCAGGCCUUUUCCCCAGUGGAAAUAGGGUCAAAGAAAUAAUAGGUUUAUAUGGGUAUUUCCUCUACCAAAUGUAGAAAAAAUACUCCAUUGCACACCAAAAGCUCUCCCUUUGUCAUCUCGCUGCCCAUCACUACAACUGGGGGGUCAUCCUCAAGGUCCUCUCCCCAGAAAAUACCUAUACACAUCUAAGCAAAAAAUAAUUGCACAUAAUUUCGCAUCAUUUGAACCCCAAGCUAAGAAUUCCUGCUCCAGAGGAUGAGUAGAAAAAAAAUUUUCAAAAGUAACACUCAGCAAUUUGGUUUGGAAUUAAAUCUUUUGGUUGUUUUUUGUGGUCACAAUUUUAAGUCCUGGAGUUAGCGACUGUUUCCAGUGGGGCUUGUUUCCAGCUGAGUGGUGUUCUCCAGCAUUCCAAAGGGUGGGCUGCCCAGGAGAGCCAACACUGUCAUCCAGAAGGGAGACUGUUCUCCUGUGGGAUGGUCUGUGACAGUAAUCUUGUCCAUGAACAAGUGGCUGAUUUAUUCUUCUCCCACAGAGACUUACAAUCUAUGAUACUCCCGUGACUGCCACAGAGCCACCUGUGUUUAAAGUACCAGUGAUAAUGGGAGUGAACCUGCAUAUAAUGGCUUAAGGUUGGUUCCUGUAGAUAUUUACCGGGACCUCUGUGUGAGAUGCGGUGCCAGCCCCAUGUGAUGCUCAGGGGGUGCACCCCGGAGCCUUCCAGCCGACAACUGGGGCACCUGGACCAGUGCCAUUUUAGUGAUAAAAAGUGUUAAAAACAUUAGAGUGUGAUCACCUCUUGUUUACAGGAGGGGUGAUGAUGAAGAAAGACUUUCUGUGAGUUCUAAUCACGUCAUCACAGACUUUUUAUUAAAUGUCUAUUGAGCAAUAAGUGAAAGUAUGCAAAUCUGGGAGAGAAGUAGGCCAAUGUCCUCUGGAGGAUAUUGAAGCCCUGGUUUUUCUCUUUCAAAGUUGUUUUGAGCAAUAAAGAAUCUUUUGUUGCUGGUUGUAUUUGCAAAAAGUGCUGUUUGAAUAUUGUAAUUGCACUAACAUUUACUUAAGCACUAUUGUUUUUACUUAAAUUGCAUGGAGGGGGGACAAAAAAUAACUAGGAUAAGUUUCUUGAGCAGCAGCCCCCUCAGCAUUAAGACGAUGCAGAAGGAGUGCCUCUCUCUGUUGAGUGAUUUCAGGGGUUCAAGAAAGAACUCCACCCCACAGUGCUUCCUCUACUUUCUGCUUGAAAGUACACAUGAGGUGUUUGGGUACCUGAAAAAAAAACUGGCGGAUAUUCCCAGGAAGGCCACAUUAGCACCCUCCAGCCAUAGGCCUCCAGAGCCCCCUUUGGUGGAACAAGCGUGGUUUAUUGCCCAUCCCAUUUGACAAGCCUGGGAGAGUCUGGCUAGAGAUGCAAAUUGGAGAGUUUAAACUGUAUUUUUAGGACCUUUAGCAAUUUAAAGGCCGCCACACAGAUCUUUUAGCAUUUCUGAGAUCUGUCACCAGCCUUCCAGGGCGCCAGCACCCAGGCCUUUCCCGAGGUGUGCCCUGGGGCUGCAGGGGCCUCCUUCUCUGUGGCUGGCCCUUAGUCAGAGGUGUGGGAGAGGCCGGCCCAGCAACCUCACCUGCAGCGGGGUCACCCUGAGUCUGGGCCUGGCCUCCUCCUCCCCUGUCCGGCUCCCCCUUGUCCUCUACUGUUUCCCCUGGGAGCACUCCGUGAGUCCUGCACCCGAGUUCUCCUCUCAGGGUCUGCUUCUGGGGAACUGAGAGUCGAGUCACUUUCUGAGGUUUGUUAAGGAAAACCACAUGCUCCCACCCACCCCCACCCGGCCCAGACGCCCUCCACCUUCAUGUUCUCCAGAAACAACCAUUUCACAUUCAUCUUAGCUCUAUUUCCUUUCUUCCUUCCUUUCUUUCUUCCUUUCUGGUAUGCUCAUUUACGUCUCUAAAUAACAUUCUGACAGUGCUGCUGCCUGAUUUUUCAGUUUUAGGCAUUUUCUAUUGAUUUUCCCCUAUAGAAUAUGAAGAUUAAGACACACACACACACACCCCUUCCCCCCUCUUCCAUUCUCCUAAAUGGUUAUAAAAUAACAAUACUAGGUUCUUCUUACACAGAACUUAUUACACACCAGGGGUUGUUCUAAGCAUUUCACACGUAUUAAUUCAAUACUCUCCCCAAACCCUGGGGUCUGUUAUAAUCCCCAUAUUACAGAUCAGGAGACUGAGUCAGAGUAGUUAAGCAAGUGGCCCAACCACCGCCAGUAAACGGUGGAUGCAGAUUUGAACACAGGCAGCCUGGCCUGAGUCCAUGCUCUUAAGCACCACGUUAGCUGCUGGGAUCAGGCCAUGAUCUUAGUCAGAUCAGUCUUCAGUGUUCUUCUGAUACCAUUCGAUCAGUGCUGUGAACAGCUGAUCCCUGUGGUAAACUGUGAUUUCUCUCUCCUUCUUGCAAAACUUUUUAUUUUAUCCAGAGUCAAAAACUGUCUGGUUUUUUGUUUCCCUGGUCUUUUGUAUCUUACAUAUUUAUCUCUAAUUCAACCUAAAUUCGCCCCCAGUUAUCUAAAUCUCCUCUCAUUAUACUCAGACACAUCUGGUAUUCCAUCAGUUUUACCCUCUUGGAGAAAUUUUUCCCGGAGCACUUCUGACCUGUUCCAGUCUGGCCUGGCGGCUCCCGGGACCUGCUCAAAGCCACCGUCCUGGACGCCUUCUCUGUGUCAUCCCUCGGUUCCCUUCACCCCUCCUGGUCCCAGACUCCAGUCUUCUUCCCUCUUGGUCCUCUUUUUAUCAUGGUGGAGCUCUCUGUAGUUUCCUCAGAAAGAAUACGUAGGAAGUAAAAUGUGGGGGACCUUGUACAUCUAAAAAUAUCUUUUGUCUACCCUCAUGAUUGAUUGUUUGGCUGAGUAUAGAAUUGUAGGUUUGAAAUGUUUUUUCCCUCAGUGUUUUGAAGACAUUGCUUCAUGGCCUUCUAGCUUCCAGCAUUGUGCUGAAAACUCUGACGACAUUUUGAUUCCUGAUCUUUACAUAUGCCUCUAUUGAUUUUGUUUUUCCUCCAGGGUUCUGGAAAUUCAUAGAAUCCUCCCCUUCUCCUUAGUGUUCUGAAAUUUCAUAGGGAUAUGCUGUGACAUGUCUUGGUGCAGCCUAUUUUUACCACUGGGCUGGCCACAAAGCGGGCUCUUGGGCCUAGAAACCCAUCUGCUGCAUCCCGGGAGAUUUUCUUGCAUCGCUUCUUAAAUGAUGCUCCCUAAUUAUCUAAUAUUCUCAUCUUUUUAUUCCUAUUUUUCAUUUCUUUUUCUCUUUUGCUCUAUUUUCUGGAAGAUUUCCCCAGCUUUAUCUUCUAACCCUUCUAUUGAAUGUUAAAAAUAUUCUAUACUAUUUUUAUGUUUUAUAUUUUCUCCUAUCAUGUUUUAAAAUUUUUUUAAUUUGCCCUCCUUUUUUUUUUUUUAAAAUAGCAUCCUAUUCUUGUUUCAUGCAUGUGGUAUCUUCUCUGAUUGGUCUGAGGAUAUUAAUGGUAGUAGAUUUGGAUUUUCGCCUCCCUGCGUGGUUUCUGUUUCCUCCACCAUGCCUUCUUCCCUUCGUGUUGACCCAUGUCUUAUAUUAGAGACUUUCCACAGCUAUGUGGUGAUCCUUAGCUGCUUUCUCAUAUUUAAUUAAAAAACAAUCAAAUUCCUGUACACGUGGGUGAUGACUGAAAGCUGGGCCAGUCCUCAGGGAACCCCAGUGUUUUUAGGGCUUUCCUCUCGGGCUGGUCAUGUUCCCCAGGUUUCUGCAGACCAUACGCUUCUGGCUGCUAGAAUCUCAGAAGCUUUGUGGAGGAGGAGACUGGGAGUCUCCCUGCUCAUUGGAUAAACUUUCCCUCCAUCUCUCCCGCCCUCCACUGUGCUAGAUUCCCAUCAAUCCAGAGACCCUAUGUUUUAUCCUCUUCAUUGGGUAUAAGUCCAAGCUUCUGUUGGGAAGAAGGAAGGGAAAACUGGCCCUAGCAAGGAGUGUGCGUGUGCAUGUUGUAAGACCUAAAGUUUCAUGUGCUGCUCUGACAUCUUAGAGCACAGGGCCCCAAAGGUCUAACUGUGAUCUCCCCGACUCUGGCCAGGUAUGUCCCCCACCAAGCAGGAAAAGCUCCCCUCUGGCUAGUUCCCUGUCAGCCGGACCUAAUGCACUCCACUGAAUCGGUUUCGCCUCCUUGCCUGCCUAUGAAAUUAAACAAACCAAUCACAUCCUCUUGUGGGAACCCAGGGGUACUCCACCCUGUUGUUACUACAAACCCUGCCUCCUCCAGCCCCUAGAGGUUCGCUCUGCUCCUGAGAACAACCACUAUGUGCCCCUGCGUGGUUCAGUGUGUCCUCCUCCCCCAAGCUGUGAGUAUAUGGCUGAUAAACUGCUGUCAUCUCAUCUUUCCAGUGUCAGGUGCCAUGUGUUCAGCUACCUCGUACUGUUUGGGGUGGCGGAUCCCUCCCUCACCAACGGCAUGACUAGGAGGUGGUCACUACAUUGUGUGUGUGUGUUUGUGCACAUGCACAGUGUACCUAGGGCUUUAAUUGCUUCUUAAGCAGACUUUCCAUCAUUUCUUCUAUUGCCAGCACCUCCUCUCUUCUAGAGGAAAGGCAUGAUAAAUGCUGGAGUCUGACCACGUGGAAUUGGAUUCUGGCUCCACCCCUACUCCAAGCUGUGUGGACUUGGGCAAGUUAUUCAAUUCUUUUGAACCUCAGUUUCCUCAUCUGAACAAUGAGGAUAAUAACAGUAUAGGGUUAUUGUGAUGAGUAAAUGAGGUACUAAAUGCAGAGGGCUCACUUCUCAUUAAAAAUGGCAGAGUGAGGGGCUGGCCCCGUGGCCGAGUGGUUAAGUUCGCGCGCUCUGCUGCAGGCGGCCCAGUGUUUCGUCGGUUCGAAUCCUGGGCGCGGACAUGGCACUGCUCGUCAGACCACGCUGAGGCAGCGUCCCACAUGCCACAACUAGAGGAACCCACAACGAAGAAUACACAACUAUGUACCGGGGGGCUUUGGGGAGAAAAAGGAAAAAAUAAAAUCUUUAAAAAAAAAAAAAAAAAAAAUGGCAGAGUGAACAUGAGCAUUUACUGCCUCCUCCUGAAGCCCUAAUAAAAUACAGGAAGGAUUUUUUCAAGCAAGCGUAUUAUCCCAGGAGGGCAAAAGAACAAGAGAUAAGAUUGUGGCGACAAAAUUUUGGAUGCUGGAAAGCAGAAGUUUGAAUGGCAACUGAUUCGGCAGAGUCAAGAAGCCAAAGAAAGAAUUAAAUAUGUUCAUCCAUGGUCAGCACUCAGAAGGGUCAAAGGCAGUGACACAGUUUUGGAGGCUUGGAGGCUGGUAGAAAAAGAAAACACUUUGGAGACCAUGAGAUCGCUCCACAGACUUCCAAAAAAGGUGGACUGGUAGCAGCUGGCGCGGCCUGGGAACGAUCAGUGAGGGACUGUGAACGAGGCCAGCAUUCCUACCUGAGAGGAAGUUUGGAAUUACACAAGUUCAGGGAGUUGGAAAAGGGAUUAUCUUAAUAUCAGUAGCCAAAGGGGAUGCGUCAUACGUUAAAAACGUCACACUCGCCCACCGUUCCAUGUGGGGGAGAACUUCAGGCAGGGCACCCUCGUGUGGAGGCUGAUCAACAUGGACUCGACACUGACUCAGCACGUGGUUUUCGGUGACAUCCCUGGCUGUGGUGGCCUCCCGCAGCACAUGAGGAAGCAGGCGCAGAAUUUCCAAGUACCACCUCAGGCCCUGCUGCGAGCACUGGGAAGACAUCAAUGAACACAGCAGGCCGAGGCCCCGCCAGGGUGCAGGCUCCAGGCGCUGCUUCCACCUGGCACAGAGGGAAGCCAAGGGCACGGGAUGCUUGAGGGAGACGGGAGUAAGGAGAGGGUUCCACUCGCCAAGGAAGGGAGGCCGAAGACACAGCUUCAAGCUGACCAUCCAGUUUUGACGAUAUCAUUGCCCAGGGCUUGCGCCGCUUCACAAACACCAAUUUGCCAUGGAGGUCAUGUUGCUUCUGAGAAGAAACCAUACAGAGCCAUCUUGUGGUGGGAAAAGGACGCACAGGUUUCAGCCUGAAAACUUUAUGGGGUUUUACACAGGUGUAAAUACAUCUGCAUACUCUUGCACCCUUGUUUCCUCCCGGUUGGCCGGGCAGCAUUUUAAAGUGGUCAGCAAACGUUUACAGCAAUCUAUAGUUGUUCCGCUAACACAUUUACCACAGGUAAUUAACUUAACUACCUGAUAAAAAUGUAAUUGGUGUGUUGUAAUGCUAGCUAUUGUCUGAAAAGGGUUUGACUGACAGUUGCGUUGGCUCCUUGGUUAUCUUUAUAGGUACAUAAUCAAAUCCAAAUUUGAUCAUUAGUUUGUAAUUUGAUUAAAGUAAACAAUCAAAUUGGGUAAUCAUGAUCCUGAAAGAUUUACUAUUUGCCUCAAUUAAAUAUUUGGAUUUUUCUAUUGUUAGAAAAUAAUAAGAAAUUAGUCAGAUUGCUCUCCGAGGCUGCCAAAUGCUGUGCAGCUGCACUCUCUCUGUCGAGGAUAAACCUAAUUCAUCAGAGAUGAUACGGGACUUAGAGGAUCGAUUUGUAGGUGUCAGGGAUUCAUAUUGCCUCUCUGGAAGCAUCCGUCAUGUCGUGCGAGACUUUUCUCACGGUGCAGCCCCCAGCAAUGCACGCUGCAUUCUGAGACGGCAGAGUGCAGUCUCCAGGCGUGGGGGACAGACUUUCAGAGUGUGGCCUGCACAGCAGCUGGGCCUGCGCCUAGGCCGUCGGCUACUCCAAGCCCCAGUGUCACCUGCGUCUACGGGACUGUUCCAAACAGCUUGGACGGUGAUGGAGAGCUUCGCCCAGCUGCAUCACCUGUGCCUAGUGAGGUGCGUGUGGUUUUCUGCACACAAACUUCCAUCCUCAAAUAAGCAAACAGCCUCCUCUCUAAGCUCAGGAGGCGCUCCCUUCUUGAACACUCAUUACAAGAGACGUUUUUAAAAUGGGAUGACUGAUAAGGGUUUUUCUCGCUCAGCUUAUAGAGUGAGGAUCCUUCAGAUGCUUCCACUGAUUGGGGCACCUUCUCAGCAGCCUCCCAGCGUGGGAAGAGGAGGCCUUCUGGGCUGGGUUUAGGAAAGCCACGUCUCAUACCACAGACAACAGAACUGUAAGAGCCUCAGCAUGGUGUGCACGUUGGCAGCCUCAAAUCCAGAUUGGGGAUAAUCUGCUACAAAUGGCUUUGGCCUUGCUCUUGAAGUCAGCUAAGACAGAAUUCAGUUAAAUUUGGGGGAUAAGUAGUUUUCCCUACGUCCUCAGUGAAACCUGGAAUGUGCUUCCUUCUCCUCUGUGCUGGACCAGCCCCCACCCCGUGCCAACCUGAUCUUUGCCCAGCAGACGCCGAGGCGCCUGCCCAGGCUCAGCCCUUGGCCCACUGGGCCCGCUGACUUCCUGCUGAGGUGUGCCGGCCUUGCCCACAGUUUAGCUCCUGCCUCUGCUGGUCUUACCCUGUCAUCUCAUUGUUUCACAUGUGCCACGUAGCACCCACGUCUCCCCAGGGAGAUGGUAAGUGCCACGAAGGCAAUGGGCAACGUGUGUAGAACAGUCAUAGGAUUCGUUUGUUCGAGUAACAAAUACUUCCUGAGUGCCCACUGUGUGCCAGGUACUGCUGUAAGCCCUAGGCAGAUGGCGAUGAACAGAACCGGGGCCAAGGCCCUGCUCUCAUGUAGCUUCUAUUCUAGUGGAAAGACAGACAAGAACAAAAAAAUACAUCACAUUAUAGAUGGCGAAUCGAAAGGAUGGUCCAAGGGCACCCAGGAGUCUAGGGACCAGAAACAGGAAUAAAAUCAGAGACUGCAGUGAGGAAAGUCAAUCAGACUCCCCAGCUGUCAAUUUUACUGUGCAUCACUGUGCACUGUGUACCUGCAUUAGAUAGCAUGUCUGUGGAUGAGGUACCGGCUCUGGGAAGUCCUGUGACUCCUAACAUCUUGGGUCCUCCAGUCUCUAAUUCAGUGGGUCUCUUAAGGUAUGCAGCAUUUGUCCCACUGGAGGGACUCGAUUAAGUGUGGGUCUUCGGCAUGACAAGGCUGUUUUCAGCUGCCUGAAAACGCCUUGCAACGCUCACCUCGACACAGCAGCCCAGCAGCAGGAGGAAAUCAAGGAGGUCAUCUGCGCUGCCAAUUUCAAAUUACCCUUAGCAAAUACAGUUCACUUUAUAGAGCAAACAGGAUCACCCAGUUAACUCACGGGGCAGGAGAGAAAGAACUUUACCCAUCAUUAAUGUUUUACUACCUUUCUCAAAAAGUGUAACCUUUAACCCCCAAAUCAGCUCUAAACCAGAGCUGAGGAGGUCCAGCUGCUAGAUCAGUUCCGGGUGCCGGUCUGUCACUGGGCCAACGCUGUUUCGAUCAGGAGAAACAAAUAAACAGGAAGAUAAGCUCUUUCAAGCACACCCCAGAGCAGACCCAGAGUUUCCCCAGCGGAGAUAACCAGUCACUUGGCUCUCAUUGGAUGAUCGGGGGCUGUCUGCCCAAGUGCCCUCUCGGCCUGGAAUGGAGCUGGGCCUCCCUGGUGACGAGCGGCCGGGGAAGCCCUUCCUUCCCCAUGGAGAAGAGUGUGGCCUUUGGCUGCGACUAGGUUGGCCCCAGCACUGACUAAUCAAUGACUGAAGGAUUUGAUGCUCCUACAAAAAUACCACACUUAAUUGUCAGUGACUAUCAGCAAGGACUUUAUUUAGUACAAGGACUCCAAAGUCUGAGUCAAGUCUGGUGGAGAGAGCAUUUACGUGCGAGACCACCGAAUUCCCCAGAACCUGUGAGGCCCGGGCUCACGGUGACGCACAGCCCACUUGUGCUGAGCAGGGAACUGAGGCAAGGGUUCAGGUCCUUGCCUCCUUUCUCAUGUGUAAAUGACAGGUGGUUCCACACUCUCUCAUUUUUAUAGACGACUAAUGCCUAAUUAUUUGUCACCUAAGAAGUGAAUCAUUAGGCGUUAGUAAAAUUUAUUAUUCACAAACGAAAAUUAGCACAGGGCUGGAACAUCCCGACGGUCCCUUCCCAGAGGGCUGGCUGUGAGCAAGCUGGGCUCCGUGGCACCCGCGGCAUAGCUGGGAUUCCUCAAGUCUGGGGGCGGAACGCGCCUUAACAGCGCCGUCUUGAGCUGGUCGUGCUUUGCAAUUGCUGCUUUUCUUGCUUUUAAAUUAUACCUUACUGUUGUUUUAGCUUCUUUCCUGUCCGUUUGGUUUGUCAGGCUUGUUUGAUUAACCCUGAAGUGUGUGGUGGUGUAUUUCAGCUUCUGCCUAUACUUCCCCAGUCACUACACGUUAAUACACAAAUGCCCUGAGGUUGGAACGUGAGCCACCCAGGCCCCUAUUGCUAAGUCAAAAGUAUGCAUAAUUCUGCUGAAUGUGUUUGAGGAGCUCUUUUUCUAUGCUGUCUGGAAACUGACCGAGGUAGGUAGGCCCUAAGGUUUUUAGCUUGUCAAAGUGGGCUGCUGUCAAAAAAGUUUUGCAAGCUGCUGUCCUAGAAGUCUAGAACGCACCACACCCAUGUAGGCAGUGAAAUGCUAGCAGGUACUUAGCACCCAGCUCUCAGGGGUAAAAAUGUGCACGUGUGGGUGCGUAAUGUGUUUAAUAUAUAGGUUUAUUAUAAAUUUUACUGAUAUUAGAAGAUGUGUGAUACACAACUUACAAAUAAAAAAUAUACAGUACUCUUGAUUAUAAAUUCCAUAUAGCCGACUGAUUCUCACAGAAGGCAUUCGGUUGAUUUUUGUUGAACUCUUGUAUUCACGGCGAAACUAUGGUUAUGGCUGAUGAACAAAUGUAGUUUCAACAUAAUGUUAGUGGAUAUUUCAGUUCAAGAGUAAGAUACAAGGAAAACAACAAAGACUAUGUCAAACCUCAGUCAUUCAUCAAUGAUGUGUGUGACUUCUUUGCUAAAUCAGAUAAUAUUUUCACACACUGAAGGAAUGUAUUUUCAGUUUUCCAGCUAUUCACAGUUUAACAGCUAUACACAUUUUUAAGUUUAAUCUGUCUUAUUAAUAUUUUCUCCAUCACUUUUUUAAGUUUGCGCUAGCAACAAAACAAUAAACCAAACUCUGAUGUGUAGCAUUUUGCCAAUUUCUAGGCUGUGAACACUCCCACCGUGGCUGAUUUCCAUCUACUGACAUGGAAUUGGGAAGAGACGCCCGGGUCCAUCUGUUUAAAGAUGCAACAAGAUGAAAACAUGUCCUCCAUCUGCCACUCUCGCUUUUUUGUUGAACGAGCUGGGAUCCUGCAGAUGAGUGAGUGCUGUCUCCUGCCCGCUGGGACUGGUCUAGACCUGCUCCCAGCGCCAGUCCUACCACGUGCUAUUCCAGCAGGCAAGAAUCAGAGGCUUUGAAACUGUUCUUCUUGCAGAAGAACCCUCACCUGUGAUCUUGGAAGAAAAAGUUUUAAGAAACGAACAAAUUAUUAAUUUGGAAGCCAUCCUGGAGUUCUGAAAACUAAAAUCUGCUCUUUGAAAGACACUACAGGGAAAAUAUGUUUAAAUACUCAACUAAUAAGUAAUUCUAUUCCAUAAGUACCUUCUAGUCAUGGUAGAUAUUUACGAAUAGGUUGAACAAGAAAAAAUUAAGGUCAAUUCUUCUUGACCUGAGAAGCCUGAAAAAAAGUAGACAGUCUCAAACUUACUUCCUUUUACUCAGGGGAAAGGCAAUCUCGAGAUACAACAGUCUGGUUUCCAAGAGGGACCUGGAGAAGAGAGAAUGCAGGCAGCAGUGGCUGAAACAGAGCUGUCACCUACAGUUUGAAUAAUUUUAACACUAAUAUCAUUUACGUACAUUCAAGUGAACUCUUUUCUUUGUGCCCAGAUGGUGUAUUGACAUAACUGCUUUAAUGAAAAGAUCUUUUGACAACAAACGCGUUUUAGUUUUUGAAAGAGGAAGCAUUCCUUGUUGGGCUUAAUUGAUGAGGUUUAAAUAUCCUCUUUUUUCUAGGAAAUCUAGCUCUCUAACUCCUCUCGUGUUGUUAAUGCCCAGGGUGUAGGGAGCAAUGGACUGAGAGUGCCCACAUCCCCCAGGGCCUCACAGAACCAUCUCAUCGGGGGUCUGCUCCCUCUGUACCUCCACCUCCGCAUCUGUUUUGUGGGUAUCUUCCCAUAGCAGGCACUUUCCUCCUGUUCCUGAGGAGGUUGUAAGCCCGGAGAGACAAGGUGAGUGAGCAUGCCUUACCUGGAACGUGCUACUGCUUCAGUCCUUCCUCUGAUUUCCCCCAGCCCCAGCUCAGGUCGGGGCAGGGUCGACAGCUGGCCAAGAAUAUAAAACUGGCUGUUUGAACCAAUGGCUCUUUCAUGAGCUUAGCCAGGUGUCUGGUGUUGGGCCACAGUCAGUAUAUUCAUCUUUAGAGGCCAGAAGUCCAAGUUGCCUUCUGAGGUUGGUGGAAAGGAGGAGGAGAGGUGAAGAUGACCUCCUUCCCAGAAGGUGGAACCGAGGAUGACCGUCUACUAGCAGCACCCGGGGGACUAGCUCUGCGUCCUGGAACUUCCUUCUCUCAACAGGAAGUGAUGGACUGAAUAACACUUAACGCAAAGUGGGAAGCGGUCCUCCGAGUACAUGCCAGAAUGGUUAUAGACAGAGGGCUAAAGUAGUUGGAAGAAAAUUCUUGUUGAAAUAUUCCCGUCUGUAUUUUAGACAGAUUUCACCUCUGAGGAUAAAAUGAUGUAUUAUAGCAACAACAGCCUAAAUUAAUAAAAGCACAGGAAAAGACUUUAAUAGAAACUGGAAACUUCUGUAACUUUUGCCCAACCCAGAACUUUGGGAGAUGUUAGAUGAGACAUCAGCUACAGAACCUAGAACUGAGAGCAUUUCCCAGGACGUUAGUAACAGGUUUAGCUAAAUAGGACUACGAUUCCUGCUCUCAUAGCUCCUCACUGUUUGCAAAGACAAAUAAUCACCCAGACUACAGAGACCAACACACAACAAAAAGGGAAAUUUAAUCAAUAUUUAAUAAACAUUUUUGAUGCUAAUGAUAACAAUAAGUGUUUUACAUAUUUGAAUCAGUAUGGCAAAAUACCUAUAGGCCUGUAUCAGCCGUGAGAUUACUGGUUUAACGUCCAAAGAAAAAUAAUACUUCAUACCAAUGUGUAUAAACACAUAGGGCUGUCACGCUCUGCACAUGUGGCCACAUAUCAGACUUUGUGCUUUUAAGCACAACCUGAUAUAUUUGAGCUUUACAAAAAACUGUAAGGAAAUGUGUUAUUCCAAGUGUAUGGAUAAAUAAAUUAGAAAGUGGAGUUUUAAAAGAAAAUGUUGAUUGAAUAUAGGGAAAUGAUUUGCCUAAAGUAACACAAUUCAGUGGUUGAGCUGAAAUGAGGAGACCAGUCUCUAGGCUUCCAGUUCACUGUGCCACCUGCAGAGCAGUGGGGGUGCCUCAAAGCUCUCUUCUGAGAGCCUUCACAGGCAGGUGGGGCCUGAAGGAAAUGUGGUCCUCCUGCCUCCCCGCUCUAUCUCAUCCUUCGUCUGCUGUCCUGAGAUUCGAAGGCUGGGAGGGUUAUGAGGUUUCAUUUGAGACAGCUAUUUGGCUUCCCCUAACUCCCUGAUGAGGGAAACCACGGAAGAUGUGUUUCUGCAGAGUGAUGACACUGGUCAUUGUGGGUGAGAUGAAGAAGAAUUUUAUCACUCUAAUGAUUGAGAAUUGUUUGCAAAUGAUGAUGUAUACGCAUCCAUAAUCAGGAAUGGACAAGAGAAAUGGUGUGAGAAGAGAGAGGGAACAGGGAGGAAGAGAUGCUCCACAGAGUGGAAAAGAGCAAGAGGAGGAAUGAUUGGGAAAUAAAUACAUGUCGCUUAGUGGUUUCCAGACAUUGAAUGAGUAUAAUUCUGAUAACUCUUUCAAUAAAUAUAUUUAUUCUCUCUAAUACAUCCUUUUAAAAGUUUUAAAAAUUGUGGUAAAAUACAAAUGACAAAAGUUUCCAUCCUCAUCAUUUUAAGCCGUAUAGUUCAGUGGCGAUAAGUGUAUUCAGAUUGUUGUGCAACCAUCACCACCAUCCAUCUCCAGAACUCUUUUCAUCUUGCAAAACUGAAACUCCGUAUCCGCUAAACGCUAACUCCCCAUUGCCUCCUGCCCCAGCCCCUGGCAACCACCAUCUACUUUCUGUCUCAAGGAAUUUGACCACUCUAUACCUCAUAUAGAUGGAAUCAUACACUAUUUGUUCUUUUGUGUCUGGCUUAUUUCACUUAGCAUAAUGUCCUCAAGGUUCAUCCAUGUUGUAGCAUUUGUCAGAAUUCUCUUUUUAAGGCUGAAUAAUAAGAAUUCCAUUGUAUAUAUACCACAUUUUGUUUAUGCAUUCAUCUGUCAAUGAACAUUUGGGUUGCUUCCACCUUUUGGCUUUGUCAAUUAUGCUGCUAUGAACACGGGUGUACUCAUAUCUGUCAAGUCCCUGUUUUCCAUUCUUUUGGGUAUAUACCCAGAAGUAGAAUUGCUGGAUCAUAUGGUAAUUCUAUUUUUAAAAAUUUUUAAUGGUGGUUAAAAAAAAACCCACAUAACACAAAUUUAUCAUCUUACCAAUUUCUAAGUGUACAGUUCAGUAGUAGUCAUCUAUUUUUAAUUUUUUGAGGAUCCACCAUGCUGUUUCCGUAGUCUGUAAUACGUUCUUGUGUUCCUCAUCAGCAAACGAGAUGAUACAAGAGAAGCUCUUCUGAGUAAAUUUGAAUUCAAUAAUUAUUAACUAACAAGAACAGCACCAGUGAUAAAAGUAGUACUAAUGAUGCUGGUGACAAUUUAUGGGGAACUUUCUAUGGAACCCUGUGCCGGGCACUAUAGAUGAUGUAAAGACCUGUUGGACACUCUCUUUGCCUUCACUGAGCUUAUAAUCUCCCUGGAGGGACAAACAUGGGGGCACCGAACUCGUAAUUUAAGCAGAAGCAGAAGUGCACACAGAGGUGUGCCGGAGCUGGGGCACCUGUCGGCAAGAGCCCAUCGGUGGGUGCAUCUCUUCCCAACUCCAGGUUUGGUGAUGUCACAGUCAGCCAGGGUGGGAGUGUUCAGAAGAAAGGAAUCACAAACAGUACAAGUCAGGGCUUGUUUUCCUCCCCAAAGAGCUGGUUUCUAAACAUUUACCAGCAUGCCACUGAGCACACCUAACUGAGGUGAGAACCCAGAAAAGAGCAUUUUGGGGCUGGGAGUAUCAAGGACUUGGGAAGCAUGGACUCAUGGACUCUGCUCUCUCUUGCCAUUCUUCUAUCAAUCAUGGAUUCGUUUCUCAGCUCCAGGCUUUCAAGGAGAAAUGACAGUGGGAGAAGGUCUGUGGAGCACCCAUUACUCUUCUACACAUCCUCUGAAAUUCAGUCAGAAGUGCACAUUGAUGAUCCCACGUGCUGGGAUCAAAUCAAGUGAGUUAGACAACGGGCGGACCAUCUUUAAAGUGAGGGUAGCACAGCAAAACGCUGAUAAAAAUGCUGCGCUGAGGACAGGAAAAUCUCUCUAUUCCAGACAUUUUCUUGUUCAGCUCAACCUAAAUUAUCAAAAUCACUAAAACCAAACUUGUCCUUCAGAGAUUAUUGCACUAAUUGAUAAAAUAAUGUUGUAAAUGAGUUGAUUAUACAUCAAAAAAUUUUGUAAAUUGUAGUGCUAUACAAAAUCAAAAAUAUAGUAAUAAAAUAUUUGUAAAGAAAAAAGUGAGAGUCCAC
RNAcentral lists this long non-coding RNA (23920 nucleotides) under Equus caballus (horse). RNAcentral describes it as "lncRNA (ENSECAG00000052895.1)". Lineage: Eukaryota; Metazoa; Chordata; Mammalia; Perissodactyla; Equidae. The record is from RNAcentral.